This is a non-coding RNA of Python bivittatus (Burmese python), 3159 nucleotides long. Lineage: Eukaryota; Metazoa; Chordata; Lepidosauria; Squamata; Pythonidae. The record is from RefSeq and is a predicted model, not a curated record.
AGGAAAGGAAAGGAAAGGGAACCCAACUGGCUGAGUUUCCAUAUGACAUGAAGACAUUAACUAUGGUUUACAAAAUGAAAUAGUUGGAUUUACAGACUACACAAAGCCAAGAUAAGGAACACACAUUAUGAUUUGGUAUGAUGUGUGAACCCAGCCCUGAGUUCAAUGGGAUAUAGUCUUAGGAAAUGAACAAUAGGAUUGCUACCUAAUUUAUUUCUGUUACUGUAUUCAGGGAUUCAACUUAAGAUAUUUUGAUUCAUAAUCAUCUAUUGGCCUAUAAGAAGAUACAUAAUUUACUUUAUUUGUGAAUGAAUUGUAUUUCAGAUUCUCCAUUUCAAGACCAACUAAAUUAAUAUCAUACAAAAAUCCAGUUGUUGCUGUGGGGGCCAUUGACCAUCAGGGUGCUAGGAAGUGAAUUAAACUUUCCCCCCUUUUCAGUUAAAAUGACUGUCCUGCCCAAAAUUGCUAUUGACCUCAGUAGGACAGCUCCCAUUUAUUUUCUGUAUGUAUAUAUAUUUAUAUAGUCUUGGUCUGUUCAACACACUUUUUUGCUUGGUAAAGAAUAUUCUGCUUAUUUCCCCCAAAAUGUCAAGCUCUAUCUAGGCCAUUGUCAAACUCAAAAACUAAAAGGCAGAAAUUCAACACGUAGCUCUUUGAUAAGCUAGUUUUAUUACAUAUACCUGCUCUAGAAGAAGCUGCACUAGAACAGAAAACCAGCAUCUGCCAGUUAUAAACCUAAGAAUACAAGCCUUAGGAACCUUCCAGGUUCAAAUCUUCUAUCUUCUUUUCCUGCCUGUGUUCCCUAACAGAAUGAGAGCUGGUUGUUUCUCAGAGAGGUGCUUGACAUCCAUGCAUUGUUAUUAUAAUGGACUUGUCUGGUCUCAGGCUCUUGGUCCAUUUAGCCCUCACAAAACAUAUGAGGAAUAGCAGCAUGAGAGUAAUAGAAUGGGCAUUGGCAAAACAGGAUUGUCCUUUCAUACCAUUUGAGCAGGUGAUAGUACUAGCUAUCUAGGAAGGAAGAAUUUUUUAAUCCUAGGGAGUAGGAAGAAUUAUUUAAAGUUUGUCUUGUCAUAUUUAUAUUGACAAAGAAAGGAUAGCUGGCCAGACGCAUAGGUAUACUCAGUGAUGAGCAAGACUACAAACUGAAAUUAAAACAUGAAUUAGCUAGCUGUCUCAUUCCAAAAUGGGGACGGGAAGAUAUACAAGAUAUAGGUAAACAAUUUAGCCAACUGGUGCAAUUCUCCACCCCGAAGAGAGGUGGAGAUUCUUUAUUGGAGACUGGAACAUUGUCACUUUCAACAUUCAGCUUCAGGAACAACGAUCAAGCUAAUACAAGCAGCCAAUCGUCGCUUGCCACUUGCCACCAGUCGAUUGGGCACAGGACAGAGGGAGGUAGGAAAGAAGUUGGGGAUACGCCCAUGACAAUCACACGACCUGGGAUUAUACAAGAGGCAAAACCUGGGCUGCAGCCAGUUGCCUGCAAGUACUCCUCCCCAAGUCAUUGGCUAGAUUACUGUGAUGUCAUGGAAUUUUUAAUGAAUUGCAGCUUUACAGGUAAAGAUGACAUCAACAAAAUGUUGACAGUACAGCUUCUGUAGGAAUAGCAAAAGGUCAUCAGGCUGGGAGCAAGUUAUCAUAUGAUAGCCAGGGACAAAUAUGCAUUAUUCGCAAGAAGAAAAGAUUAAAAGAUGCUGCCUUUAUUUGGAUCACACAACUGACUGAUUCAGCCAUUCUCCAUAGCAAUUAAUUCAGCCCUAUGCAAAAGAACAACAUGAGCACGGAUGACAGUUUUUUCAGCUGCCACCAAGGAGUCCAGGAGGCUAUCAUACUCUGGCUUUGGUGGGGGAAAAAUAAAUAAUGGCCCAAUUGGGGUUGGUGUCACUGAGGACAGAGGGAAUUAUUUAAUUUACUAAUUUAAUCCAUAGCCUGCCUUUUUACUCUGGUGAGGUAAGGGAGCCACAAGGCAAGGAGGACAAAGGUAGUGAUCAAAUCAAGUUACAGAUCGAAAAGAGGGAUAGAAAUGGAAGGAAGAAAGUAGAAACUGAAGAGGACUAUACAUGAUGUAUACAGAAUCUAAAGAAAGUCUGCUUUUGGUGAUACGAAAGAAACAGAGCUUUGGAGCACAGGGGAGAGAACAGAGACUAAAAUGAUAAUGGAGCUGAAUUUCUCACAUAGCUAAACCUGCCAUUUCUCUUUAUUUUAAGGAUGCGUGGAAAUCUGUACUUUUGUGUAGUAUUAAUAAAAGUAUGCCUACUUCUGUGCCUAGAAUAUGGCUUAAACAUUUUGGUUGGUUGCUUUUAUUGAUAUAUGCUAACUUUGCACAUAUAUGGAGUUGGUAAAUUAAUUCAGUUUGCAAGAGGAAAGUGUACUGGCUAGGAUGAAGAAGAGAUACUAUAGAUUGGUAAUGGGAUUAUAAAACUUCACAAGUUUAUUUUCUUCUAAGAGAAGUUAGACACAAUAAAUAAAAAUAGGGAGAGUUGCAAUGAGGCCAAUUUUGACCUGGAUUAUCAGGUCGAAUCAUUGCCAGCAAUGAGCACCAGGUAAUAUUCUAACAACAACAACAAAAAAAGCCAAACAAGUAAGCCAGGAAAUACAUUGUAAAUACAACAAAUAGCACGGUGGUCUGUGGUCCAUCUUUUCCUUGCAAGGGUAUUGGUUCCUGGUGUUUGGAUGUACCCUAUUAUAGACUCUGAGAAUAUCGGGUUGCAUAUUUAUUAGCAAAGCUGAACUAAUGAGAGGCAGCGUGUAUCCCUUUUUUUGAUUGGACACAUAUGACCCUUGCUUUGAUUUAAUGACCCACAUUUUACAACUAGUGAGUGAGAUGGAGGCUGUAGUGACCAACAGUGCAGAAGCAAAUAAUUCUGGGAAGGUAAUGGAAGAACUUCACCCUGAAAAAAGAAAUCCUUACCUGGCUGCCUGUUUCUGCUAUCAGUGGUGACUUUGAAAAACAGCUAUAAGACUGAUCAAGUUAUUAUUAGGUACAGAGGAAAAAAUACAGCUGUCCCCGUUCCCAGGCAAAUGCUUUUGCUCUUAGAUUAAAGGAGUCACUCUCAGUAUAACCAAAGUUGACUUCUGUGCAUUAUAGUCAAGAAAAACCCUUAUUUAUCAUGUUGUCCCUGCAUUCCCUCUUUCCCUUUUCUGCUUGGGAUCCAUCAAGAG